RNA transcript from Oryza brachyantha (malo sina), 2582 nucleotides. It is a transcript of the gene named protein DETOXIFICATION 14-like, with no coding region annotated. The record is from RefSeq and is a predicted model, not a curated record. The transcript is spliced from 7 exons. NCBI's taxonomy places the organism in Eukaryota, Viridiplantae, Streptophyta, Magnoliopsida, Poales, Poaceae.
GACACACAGACACCAAAGGCGACUACGACAAGAGGAGCGCACGGGGACGAGCUCGAUCGGCGGAGGCGAAGACGCACUGACGCGAGUACUACGACCGCCGCCAUGGAGGAGAGAAUACCGCUGCUGUCGCCGCGGUUCCCGGCGGACGGCACCGCAGGAGUGGGGGGAGGGGAGGAGGGCGGCUGCUGCGCCUGCGCCUGCGGCGGCGGCGGAGGCGAUAGGUGGUGGAGCGGGCUGGCGCGGGAGGCCGGGAAGGUGGGGUCCAUGGCCCUGCCGAUGGCCGCGAUGAGCGUGGCGCAGAACGCCGUGCAGGUGGCGUCGAACAUGAUGGUGGGGCACCUCCCCGGCGUCCUCCCGCUCUCCGCCUCCGCCAUCGCCACCUCCCUCGCCAGCGUCUCCGGCUUCAGCCUCCUCGUUGGAAUGGCAAGUGGACUAGAAACUCUAUGUGGUCAAGCUUAUGGGGCAAAACAGUAUGACAAGUUAGGAGUGCAAACCUACAGAGCAAUAGUUACACUUACAGUAGUCACAAUUCCAAUCUCACUUCUAUGGGUAUUCAUAGGCAAACUCUUGAUCCUAAUAGGUCAGGACGCCUUGAUCUCACAAGAAGCUGGAAGAUACAUAGUGUGGUUGAUUCCAGGACUCUUCGCAUAUGCAGUCUGCCAACCCCUCACAAAAUUUCUACAGUCUCAGAGUUUAAUAUUUCCUAUGCUCUGGUCCUCCAUUGCUACUCUACUCUUGCACAUUCCUCUGUCUUGGCUGUUGGUAUUCAAGACCAGCAUGGGGUUUACUGGAGCUGCUUUAGCAAUUAGCAUAUCGUACUGGUUGAACACGUUCAUGCUCGCUGCAUACAUCAGAUUCUCAUGCUCUUGUGAAGUAACUCGCUCACCUCCUACAAUUGAGGCAUUCAGAGGGGUUGGUCUGUUUCUGCGAUUAGCUCUACCAUCUGCACUAAUGUUAUGUUUUGAAUGGUGGUCAUUUGAGAUCCUUGUUCUCCUGUCAGGACUUUUACCCAACCCAGAGCUGGAAAGUUCAGUCCUUUCCAUAUGCCUGACGACUACCUCUUUGAUGUAUACCAUACCAUAUGGUCUUGGGGGCGCUGCAAGCACUCGAGUAGCAAAUGAAUUAGGUGCUGGAAAUCCUGAAGGAGCUCGAUCAGCUGUUCACCUUGUAAUGUCUAUUGCUGGGACUGAGGCAGUUAUUGUUACUGGAAUGCUGUUAGCAGCACAGCGCAUCUUAGGCUAUGCUUACAGCAGCGAUGAGGAGGUUGUUGCAUAUUUUACAUCAAUGGUCCCUUUUGUGUGCAUAUCAGUUGCUGCUGAUAGCCUACAAGGAGUUCUAUCAGGUUACAUUUCCUAACAUUUGAUUUAUCUGUUAAUUCUUCAUUCCCUUCAAAAGCUGAAAAAAAAGAGUACUCAACUAUGCCUGAAUUGUUCUAAAAUUUGCUCUAACUGGUUCUUAUAAUAUUGGGGCCAUUGCAUUUACACAUUUCAGUAUCUUUAGCCCGUUAGCUAAACGGUAUCUUUUACCCCUUAGUUUGAUUGCUUAAUUCAAUGUGUGCGCUUUUUUCAAAUUUGUACCAAGACCUCAGGUAGCAAGUUAAUUUCAGUCACGCCGGUAUCAUAAAGACAUACCAGGUAACUUGCCGCUUCUUGCUGUUCCUUUGUUCGACGAAACUAAUGCUAUUUUGUGUUGUGGAGGCCAACAUUGUUGCUCGGGGAGUUACCUGUUUGUUCCUUCAAACAUGUGCUCUUACGUGAACAUGGAUGGUGGUGUUUACAUCAACACGCAUCUAUCAGCGAUGUCGUCUUAAGUGUGGGCUCCACUUCACUAAGUGUUGCUCGGGGUUGCGGAUGGCAGCACUUGGGAGCCUAUGUUAACCUUGGUUCGUUCUACCUGGUUGGCAUUCCGGUAGCGCUAUUUCUUGGCUUUAGCCUGAAGAUGGAAGGUAAAGGGCUUUGGCUGGGCAUUGCUGGUGGUUCCGUAUUGCAGUUCUUGCUUCUCGCUGUGAUUGCAUUCUUCAGCAACUGGCAAAAGAUGGCUGAGAAAGCAAGGGAGAGACUUUUCGGUGAGACACCGUCAGAGAAGCAAUCUUUGGUGCUUGAUGCGACAAAUUCAGUCUGAUUCUGCAACCUGGUCCGUUGACGCGAACUGAAGCGGAUGAUCGGAUCAUGUGGAGGAGACUGUUGCCUUGCUACGAGUGCUCCUCUGGAUGUAUAGGGAAUCUGCUGAAGAAGUAAACCAGUGUGCAUUGUUGUACUAAGUUGUACCGUUGCUAGGACCUGUGAGAAAGCUAUCAAGAACUCAAUAUAUGAAAUGUAUGGUGGUCAUAAUGUACGAGAUCGAGGCGGGGAAUACUUCCAGCCUGUAGAAGUGUAUACAGAACUUACCACUUCAUGGACAGAAGAAUAAAAAGGCUUAACCUAUCCUUUGUCCUGCAUGGCUUAUCAUAACUUCGAAACUUACAGAAAGCCAUUUUUUUACAUCAUACAUUUUUACAUCAUACAGCAUAAUUAUAUGGGAGUAUUUAACAUGUAAUUGAUGCAUGAUCAGACAUUCUAAUUUCCAAGGAUCACACUACAUUU